CCUACGGGCGGCAGCAGUGAGGAAUAUUGGUCAAUGGACGCAAGUCUGAACCAGCCAUGCCGCGUGCAGGAAGACGGCUCUAUGAGUUGUAAACUGCUUUUGUACGAGGGUAAACGCAGAUACGCGUAUCUGUUUGAAAGUAUUGUACGAAUAAGGAUCGGCUAACUCCGUGCCAGCAGCCGCGGUAAUACGGAGGAUUCAAGCGUUAUCCGGAUUUAUUGGGUUUAAAGGGUGCGUAGGUGGUCGGAUAAGUUAGAGGUGAAAUCCCGAGGCUCAACUUCGGAAUUGCCUUUGAUACUGGUCGGCUAGAGAGUAGUUGCGGUAGGCGGAAUGUAUGGUGUAGCGGUGAAAUGCUUAGAGAUCAUACAGAACACCGAUUGCGAAGGCAGCUUACCAAGCUACUUCUGACGUUGAGGCACGAAAGCGUGGGGAGCAAACAGGAUUAGAUACCCUAGUAGUC
Molecule: ribosomal RNA, 460 nt
Filed under: uncultured bacterium
Lineage: Bacteria
Description: partial 16S ribosomal RNA
Rfam family: Bacterial small subunit ribosomal RNA
Source: RNAcentral